Molecule: long non-coding RNA, 216 nt
Filed under: Nicotiana benthamiana
Lineage: Eukaryota; Viridiplantae; Streptophyta; Magnoliopsida; Solanales; Solanaceae
Description: long non-coding RNA (NBEN_LNC018847)
Source: RNAcentral
CACAGUCAUCUUAUAUUUCAAGAUUAAUCAAUCUACACAAAAGAGGUUACUUUGGCAACAUAAUGCUUCAAUUGACUAAUUUAAAAUAUUAGAUGCUAAUUCAUAUAGUUCCUUACGCCAUAUAUUGAAUCUUAACUGAAAAUUUACAUGUUUUGACAUGUAACAUCUGAAUAUUAAUUGUUUUAAACUUAAUUAGAUAAUACCAAAAUCUGAAGC